Molecule: ribosomal RNA, 253 nt
Filed under: uncultured bacterium
Lineage: Bacteria
Description: partial 16S ribosomal RNA
Rfam family: Bacterial small subunit ribosomal RNA
Source: RNAcentral
UACGUAGGGGGCAAGCGUUGUCCGGAUUUAUUGGGCGUAAAGAGCGUGUAGGCGAUCUGGUAGGUCCGUUGUGAAAACUCGAGGCUCAACCUCGAGACGCCGAUGGAAACCAUCAGACUAGAGUCCGGAAGAGGAGAGUGGAAUUCCUGGUGUAGCGGUGAAAUGCGCAGAUAUCAGGAAGAACACCCGUGGCUAAGGCGGCUCUCUAGUACGGUACUGACGCUGAGACGCGAAAGCGUGGGGAGCGAACAGG